GUAGUGUUCCCUCCGUCCCAAAAUUCUUGUCUUACAUUUGUUUAGAUAUGGAUGUAUCUAACAAUUCUUGUCUUACAUUUGUUUAGAUAGGGAUGUAUCUAACACUAAAAUGUAACUAGAUACAUCCAUAUUUAGACAAAUUUAAGACAAGAAUUUUGGGAUGGAGGGAGUACAAA
This is a non-coding RNA of Triticum urartu, 176 nucleotides long. NCBI's taxonomy places the organism in Eukaryota, Viridiplantae, Streptophyta, Magnoliopsida, Poales, Poaceae. The record is from Rfam.